AGAGUUUGAUCAUGGCUCAGGACGAACGCUGGCGGCGUGCUUAACACAUGCAAGUCGAACGAUGAAGCCCUUCGGGGUGGAUUAGUGGCGAACGGGUGAGUAACACGUGGGCAAUCUGCCCUUCACUCUGGGACAAGCCCUGGAAACGGGGUCUAAUACCGGAUAACACCUGCCCGGGCAUCUGGGUGGGUUAAAAGCUCCGGCGGUGAAGGAUGAGCCCGCGGCCUAUCAGCUUGUUGGUGAGGUAGUGGCUCACCAAGGCGACGACGGGUAGCCGGCCUGAGAGGGCGACCGGCCACACUGGGACUGAGACACGGCCCAGACUCCUACGGGAGGCAGCAGUGGGGAAUAUUGCACAAUGGGCGAAAGCCUGAUGCAGCGACGCCGCGUGAGGGAUGACGGCCUUCGGGUUGUAAACCUCUUUCAGCAGGGAAGAAGCGAGAGUGACGGUACCUGCAGAAGAAGCGCCGGCUAACUACGUGCCAGCAGCCGCGGUA
Molecule: ribosomal RNA, 497 nt
Filed under: uncultured Actinomycetes bacterium
Lineage: Bacteria; Bacillati; Actinomycetota; Actinomycetes
Description: bacterial SSU rRNA
Rfam family: Bacterial small subunit ribosomal RNA
Source: RNAcentral